RNAcentral lists this ribosomal RNA (674 nucleotides) under uncultured Lachnospiraceae bacterium. RNAcentral's name for it is "bacterial SSU rRNA". It matches the Rfam family "Bacterial small subunit ribosomal RNA", at positions 38 to 723 of the family's 1533-position model. Lineage: Bacteria; Bacillati; Bacillota; Clostridia; Lachnospirales; Lachnospiraceae. The record is from RNAcentral.
GGCGGCGCGCUUAACACAUGCAAGUCGAACGGAGCUGAGAGGAGCUUGCUUUUCUCAGCUUAGUGGCGAACGGGUGAGUAACGCGUGAGUAACCUGCCCUGGAGUGGGGGACAACAGUUGGAAACGACUGCUAAUACCGCAUAAGCCCACGGAUCCGCAUGGAUCUGCGGGAAAAGGAUUUAUUCGCUCUAGGAUGGACUCGCGUCCAAUUAGCUAGUUGGUGAGGUAACGGCCCACCAAGGCGACGAUUGGUAGCCGGACUGAGAGGUUGAACGGCCACAUUGGGACUGAGACACGGCCCAGACUCCUACGGGAGGCAGCAGUGGGGGAUAUUGCACAAUGGGGGAAACCCUGAUGCAGCGACGCCGCGUGGAGGAAGAAGGUUUUCGGAUUGUAAACUCCUGUCGUUAGGGACGAUAAUGACGGUACCUAACAAGAAAGCACCGGCUAACUACGUGCCAGCAGCCGCGGUAAAACGUAGGGUGCAAGCGUUGUCCGGAAUUACUGGGUGUAAAGGGAGCGCAGGCGGGAAGACAAGUUGGAAGUGAAAACCAUGGGCUCAACCCAUGAAUUGCUUUCAAAACUGUUUUUCUUGAGUAGUGCAGAGGUAGAUGGAAUUCCCGGUGUAGCGGUGGAAUGCGUAGAUAUCGGGAGGAACACCAGUGGCGAAGGCG